Molecule: ribosomal RNA, 726 nt
Filed under: uncultured Bacilli bacterium
Lineage: Bacteria; Bacillati; Bacillota; Bacilli
Description: bacterial SSU rRNA
Rfam family: Bacterial small subunit ribosomal RNA
Source: RNAcentral
AAUACAUGCAAGUCGAACGCGUUGGCCCAAUUGAUUGAUGGUGCUUGCACCUGAUUGAUUUUGGUCGCCAACGAGUGGCGGACGGGUGAGUAACACGUAGGUAACCUGCCCAGAAGCGGGGGACAACAUUUGGAAACAGAUGCUAAUACCGCAUAACAACGUUGUUCGCAUGAACAACGCUUAAAAGAUGGCUUCUCGCUAUCACUUCUGGAUGGACCUGCGGUGCAUUAGCUUGUUGGUGGGGUAAUGGCCUACCAAGGCGAUGAUGCAUAGCCGAGUUGAGAGACUGAUCGGCCACAAUGGGACUGAGACACGGCCCAUACUCCUACGGGAGGCAGCAGUAGGGAAUCUUCCACAAUGGGCGCAAGCCUGAUGGAGCAACACCGCGUGAGUGAAGAAGGGUUUCGGCUCGUAAAGCUCUGUUGUUAAAGAAGAACACGUAUGAGAGUAACUGUUCAUACGUUGACGGUAUUUAACCAGAAAGUCACGGCUAACUACGUGCCAGCAGCCGCGGUAAUACGUAGGUGGCAAGCGUUAUCCGGAUUUAUUGGGCGUAAAGAGAGUGCAGGCGGUUUUCUAAGUCUGAUGUGAAAGCCUUCGGCUUAACCGGAGAAGUGCAUCGGAAACUGGAUAACUUGAGUGCAGAAGAGGGUAGUGGAACUCCAUGUGUAGCGGUGGAAUGCGUAGAUAUAUGGAAGAACACCAGUGGCGAAGGCGGCUACCUGG